This 497-nucleotide ribosomal RNA is filed under the name uncultured bacterium. Its description in RNAcentral is "partial 16S ribosomal RNA". It matches the Rfam family "Bacterial small subunit ribosomal RNA", at positions 28 to 507 of the family's 1533-position model. The record is from RNAcentral.
GACGAACGCUGGCGGCGUGCCUAAUACAUGCAAGUAGAACGCUGAAGAGAGGAGCUUGCUCUUCUUGGAUGAGUUGCGAACGGGUGAGUAACGCGUAGGUAACCUGCCUGGUAGCGGGGGAUAACUAUUGGAAACGAUAGCUAAUACCGCAUAAAAUGGAUUAUCGCAUGAUAAUCCAUUGAAAGGUGCAAAUGCAUCACUACCAGAUGGACCUGCGUUGUAUUAGCUAGUUGGUGGGGUAACGGCUCACCAAGGCGACGAUACAUAGCCGACCUGAGAGGGUGAUCGGCCACACUGGGACUGAGACACGGCCCAGACUCCUACGGGAGGCAGCAGUAGGGAAUCUUCGGCAAUGGACGGAAGUCUGACCGAGCAACGCCGCGUGAGUGAAGAAGGGUUUCGGAUCGUAAAGCUCUGUUGUAAGAGAAGAACGAGUGUGAGAGUGGAAAGUUCACACUGUGACGGUAUCUGACCAGAAAGGGACGGCUAACUACGUG